GGGCUCACACAAGCGGUGGAGCAUGUGGUUUAAUUCGAUGCAACACGAAGAACCUUACCAGGGUUUGAAAUCAUUUCAAAACUCCUUGAAAGAGGAGCCUCCUUCGGGAUGAAAUGACAGGUGGUGCAUGGCUGUCGUCAGCUCGUGUUGUGAAAUGUCGAGUUAAGUCUCGUAACGAGCGCAACCCAUGUCUCUUGUUGCUCACUGAGUGCUUAAGAGAGACUGCCGACCAACAUCGGAGGAAGGUGUGGAUGAUGUCAAGUCAGCAUGCCCCUUACAUCCUGGGCUACACACGUACUACAAUGGUAGGGACAAUGAGCUGCGAUCCUGCGAAGGCUAGCCAAUCUCAAAAACCCUAUCUCAGUUCGGAUUGUACUCUGCAACUCGAGUACAUGAAGGUGGAAUCGCUAGUAA
This 414-nucleotide ribosomal RNA is filed under the name uncultured bacterium. RNAcentral describes it as "bacterial SSU rRNA". It matches the Rfam family "Bacterial small subunit ribosomal RNA", at positions 917 to 1341 of the family's 1533-position model. The record is from RNAcentral.